GUCCUUGUAGCUCAGUUGGAUAGAGCGCACGAUUCCUAAUCGUGAGGCCGUGGGUUCAAAUCCCGCCGAGGACACCA
This 77-nucleotide transfer RNA is filed under the name Helicobacter felis. RNAcentral describes it as "tRNA-Arg(cct)". It matches the Rfam family "tRNA". From Rfam's summary of the family: Transfer RNA (tRNA) molecules are approximately 80 nucleotides in length. Their secondary structure includes four short double-helical elements and three loops (D, anti-codon, and T loops). Further hydrogen bonds mediate the characteristic L-shaped molecular structure. tRNAs have two regions of fundamental functional importance: the anti-codon, which is responsible for specific mRNA codon recognition, and the 3' end, to which the tRNAs corresponding amino acid is attached (by aminoacyl-tRNA synthetases). tRNAs cope with the degeneracy of the genetic code in two manners: having more than one tRNA (with a specific anti-codon) for a particular amino acid; and 'wobble' base-pairing, i.e. permitting non-standard base-pairing at the 3rd anti-codon position. The record is from RNAcentral. RNAcentral also lists the same sequence under 1 other name. Lineage: Bacteria; Pseudomonadati; Campylobacterota; Epsilonproteobacteria; Campylobacterales; Helicobacteraceae.